UACGUAGGGGGCUAGCGUUGUCCGGAUUUAUUGGGCGUAAAGAGCGUGUAGGCGGCCAGGUAGGUCUGCUGUGAAAACUCGAGGCUCAACCUCGAGAUGUCGGCGGAAACCGCUUGGCUAGAGUCCGGAAGAGGAGAGUGGAAUUCCCGGUGUAGCGGUGAAAUGCGCAGAUAUCGGGAAGAACACCUAUGGCGAAGGCAGCUCUCUGGGACGGUACUGACGCUGAGACGCGAAAGCGUGGGGAGCGAACAGG
Molecule: ribosomal RNA, 253 nt
Filed under: uncultured bacterium
Lineage: Bacteria
Description: partial 16S ribosomal RNA
Rfam family: Bacterial small subunit ribosomal RNA
Source: RNAcentral